RNAcentral lists this ribosomal RNA (1434 nucleotides) under uncultured organism. RNAcentral's name for it is "SSU rRNA". It matches the Rfam family "Bacterial small subunit ribosomal RNA". The record is from RNAcentral.
AACGCUAGCUACAGGCUUAACACAUGCAAGUCGAGGGGCAGCAUUUUAGUUUGCUUGCAAACUAAAGAUGGCGACCGGCGCACGGGUGAGUAACACGUAUCCAACCUGCCGAUAACUCGGGGAUAGCCUUUCGAAAGAAAGAUUAAUAUCCGAUAGUAUAUUAAAACCGCAUGGUUUUACUAUUAAAGAAUUUCGGUUAUCGAUGGGGAUGCGUUCCAUUAGUUUGUUGGCGGGGUAACGGCCCACCAAGACUACGAUGGAUAGGGGUUCUGAGAGGAAGGUCCCCCACAUUGGAACUGAGACACGGUCCAAACUCCUACGGGAGGCAGCAGUGAGGAAUAUUGGUCAAUGGACGAGAGUCUGAACCAGCCAAGUAGCGUGAAGGAUGACUGCCCUAUGGGUUGUAAACUUCUUUUAUAUGGGAAUAAAGUAUUCCACGUGUGGAAUUUUGUAUGUACCAUAUGAAUAAGGAUCGGCUAACUCCGUGCCAGCAGCCGCGGUAAUACGGAGGAUCCGAGCGUUAUCCGGAUUUAUUGGGUUUAAAGGGAGCGUAGGUGGAUUGUUAAGUCAGUUGUGAAAGUUUGCGGCUCAACCGUAAAAUUGCAGUUGAAACUGGCAGUCUUGAGUACAGUAGAGGUGGGCGGAAUUCGUGGUGUAGCGGUGAAAUGCUUAGAUAUCACGAAGAACUCCGAUUGCGAAGGCAGCUCACUAGACUGCAACUGACACUGAUGCUCGAAAGUGUGGGUAUCAAACAGGAUUAGAUACCCUGGUAGUCCACACAGUAAACGAUGAAUACUCGCUGUUUGCGAUAUACAGUAAGCGGCCAAGCGAAAGCAUUAAGUAUUCCACCUGGGGAGUACGCCGGCAACGGUGAAACUCAAAGGAAUUGACGGGGGCCCGCACAAGCGGAGGAACAUGUGGUUUAAUUCGAUGAUACGCGAGGAACCUUACCCGGGCUUAAAUUGCAUUUGAAUAAUCUGGAAACAGGUUAGCCGCAAGGCAAAUGUGAAGGUGCUGCAUGGUUGUCGUCAGCUCGUGCCGUGAGGUGUCGGCUUAAGUGCCAUAACGAGCGCAACCCUUAUCUUUAGUUACUAACAGGUCAUGCUGAGGACUCUAGAGAGACUGCCGUCGUAAGAUGUGAGGAAGGUGGGGAUGACGUCAAAUCAGCACGGCCCUUACGUCCGGGGCUACACACGUGUUACAAUGGGGGGUACAGAAGGCAGCUACCUGGUGACAGGAUGCUAAUCCCAAAAACCUCUCUCAGUUCGGAUCGAAGUCUGCAACCCGACUUCGUGAAGCUGGAUUCGCUAGUAAUCGCGCAUCAGCCAUGGCGCGGUGAAUACGUUCCCGGGCCUUGUACACACCGCCCGUCAAGCCAUGAAAGCCGGGGGUACAAGAAGUACGUAACCGCAAGGAGCGUCCUAGGGUAAAACA